ACAGGGGUAUCAAAUCCGUUUGGCUCCCCUAGUUUUCGUCCCUMAGCGUCAGAUGGGGCCCAGKAGAGCGCCUUCCCCACGGGUGUUCUUCCAGAUAUCUACGCWUUUCACCGCUACACCGGAAAUUCCCUCUACCCCUACCACACUCAAGUYUCCAAGUUUCAAUUGCCGAUCCACRGUUAASCUGGGGGUUUUGACAACAAAUUUAAAAAACCGCCGGCGGACGCUUUACGCCCAAAAAUUCCAGAUAACGYUGGCCCCCUCCGAUUWACCGCGG
This 277-nucleotide ribosomal RNA is filed under the name uncultured bacterium. RNAcentral's name for it is "partial 16S ribosomal RNA". The record is from RNAcentral.